GACGAACGCUGGCGGCGUGCUUAACACAUGCAAGUCGAGCGGAAAGGCCCCUUCGGGGGUACUCGAGCGGCGAACGGGUGAGUAACACGUGAGUAACCUGCCCCAGGCUCUGGGAUAACC
Molecule: ribosomal RNA, 120 nt
Filed under: uncultured bacterium
Lineage: Bacteria
Description: partial 16S ribosomal RNA
Rfam family: Bacterial small subunit ribosomal RNA
Source: RNAcentral